RNAcentral lists this unclassified non-coding RNA (229 nucleotides) under Hevea brasiliensis (rubber tree). Lineage: Eukaryota; Viridiplantae; Streptophyta; Magnoliopsida; Malpighiales; Euphorbiaceae. The record is from RNAcentral.
GCCACUGGCAAAGAAACACAAACAAAAUUUUCACUUCCCAGUUGGUAUCCAGUGUCUCUUUCUCUCUCAACAACCACUUUCUCUGAACCUUUUGGUCUUUUGGCUUCUCUGCAACUUUACUUUGUUGAGCUUUCAUUUACGGAGAGCCAAAAUUGCCUUCAUUUGUCCAAUUCAGAGUCUUUUUUUAUAGAUCUUUAGAAAAAUCUUUUUUUUUUUCCCGUUUCUGUUU